CAGUGGGGAAUAUUGCACAAUGGGGGAAACCCUGAUGCAGCCAUGCCGCGUGUGUGAAGAAGGCCUUCGGGUUGUAAAGCACUUUCAGUAGGGAGGAAGGUAGUGUAGUUAACACCUGCAUUAUUUGACGUUACCUACAGAAGAAGCACCGGCUAACUCCGUGCCAGCAGCCGCGGUAAUACGGAGGGUGCGAGCGUUAAUCGGAAUUACUGGGCGUAAAGCGCAUGCAGGCGGCCUGUUAAGUCAGAUGUGAAAGCCCGGGGCUUAACCUCGGAAUUGCAUUUGAAACUGGCAGGCUAGAGUCUUGUAGAGGGGGGUAGGAAUUUCAGGUGUAGCGGUGAAAUGCGUAGAGAUCUGAAGGAAUACCAGUGGCGAAGGCGGCCCCCUGGACAAAGACUGACGCUCAGAUGCGAAAGCGUGGGGAGCCAAACAGGAUUAGAUACCCUGGUAG
Molecule: ribosomal RNA, 451 nt
Filed under: uncultured bacterium
Lineage: Bacteria
Description: bacterial SSU rRNA
Rfam family: Bacterial small subunit ribosomal RNA
Source: RNAcentral